This 72-nucleotide transfer RNA is filed under the name Loxodonta africana (African savanna elephant). It matches the Rfam family "tRNA". From Rfam's summary of the family: Transfer RNA (tRNA) molecules are approximately 80 nucleotides in length. Their secondary structure includes four short double-helical elements and three loops (D, anti-codon, and T loops). Lineage: Eukaryota; Metazoa; Chordata; Mammalia; Proboscidea; Elephantidae. The record is from Rfam by way of RNAcentral.
GCCCUGGUGGCGUAAUGGUUAGGCACUUGGCUGCUAGCCAAAAGGUUGGUGGUUCGAACCCAGCCAGGGGCU